UAGCAGGACUCUGGAGAGAGGCGCCGCCGAUAAGGCGGUGCACGCCGAAGGGAUAACAAUCUCAGGCGCAAGGACAGAGGGGGCUCA
This 87-nucleotide non-coding RNA is filed under the name Rhizobium sp. RNAcentral describes it as "Glycine sequence". It matches the Rfam family "Glycine riboswitch aptamer". Rfam says of the family: This family represents the bacterial glycine riboswitch. Glycine riboswitches usually consist of two metabolite-binding aptamers domains with similar structures in tandem. Lineage: Bacteria; Pseudomonadati; Pseudomonadota; Alphaproteobacteria; Hyphomicrobiales; Rhizobiaceae. The record is from RNAcentral. RNAcentral also lists the same sequence under 1 other name.